RNAcentral lists this long non-coding RNA (488 nucleotides) under Helianthus annuus (common sunflower). The record is from RNAcentral. Lineage: Eukaryota; Viridiplantae; Streptophyta; Magnoliopsida; Asterales; Asteraceae.
CCAAACCCUAAUACGCCAGUCAAUCUCCUUCACGGCUUCACGAUCUGUUGAUUCCCUCACGUUAAGCCCUGAUAUUGUUCAACAUUGAACACUGCGUUUUCAGUUUCCAAUCGCAAACCCGUAUAGCUUUCUUCUUAUCCAACGAGCAAUGAUUGAAGGGUAAACAUGGUGCAAAAACUAUAUAAAAGUGGGAAGACAACUGUAAGUUCAUAUGCCGCCUGUGUUGGGAAUACAUUUCAACUUAGCCGGAAGCUUGGCAACGGCUCAUUUGGAGAGAUCUUUAUGAGUUUGUAUGAUGAUCAUUUAGGUUAUGUGUUUAAGAAGUGGUAAAUGAUAUGGUUUUUGUUUGUUUUACAUGAACUAAUAUUCAAAGAAACGAAGAAGUUGCUAUUAGGCUGGAGCGUGGUUGUACUUCUCUUUGAAUAUUGUUUAUUUUCUCUACCUUAAUUGCUUUAAUUGUUAAACUGGCAUUUGUGCUACUUGUAAUU